Long non-coding RNA from Neopsephotus bourkii (Bourke's parrot), 632 nucleotides. RefSeq lists it as uncharacterized. The record is from RefSeq and is a predicted model, not a curated record. Lineage: Eukaryota; Metazoa; Chordata; Aves; Psittaciformes; Psittacidae. The transcript is spliced from 3 exons.
UUCAUAAGACAACUCCUUUAAAAAUAGCAGUGUGUGUUUGGGAACACUGCCUGCCUGUUCCUGCCAUAGGAUACUCACUUAACGUUGCAUUUCCCUAUUGUGUCAGCAUGAGGCUUUUGACCCUGAAGGUGGAGCCAGACUUUCAAAUUCUUCACUGAAAUCCCAGCAGCUGCAGGACCCUCAUGGUUAACAAAGCUUCUGUGACACCAUGAUAUCCAGGAUGAAGACAGUAAUAUGUAUUUAGGAGGGUGACGGUAUCUGGGAUGGCACUAGUGCAGAGGUAUGAGUGUUACUGUGGCUCACAGUGAUGUCCUGGAAUCCAAGCUAUGUCUGUCUUGUUAUUUAUGAGAACAAUCAUGGAGAGGCAAAAUACAUUUCAAUUCCAGUCUGAAAUACUUUAAACAAUACCAGCGAAGGCAACAGGAAGAGGCUGCCCCAGUGUUUUCAUAUAGGCAUGAAAAGAAAUUGAAAUGGUGUCUAAAUUAGACAAUUGCCCUUGGAGGUUUUCCUAAUUAUCAGUGAUUUGUUCCAAAUCAACUAACACAGUAAUUGCUGCCAAGUCUGUAAAUCCAAAGGGAUUACUAAUGGCUGAACAAUACAUAGGUGAUUUUAAAACCUCAGUAAGUUUUGAG